RNAcentral lists this long non-coding RNA (263 nucleotides) under Carica papaya (papaya). RNAcentral describes it as "long non-coding RNA (CPAP_LNC015765)". The record is from RNAcentral. Lineage: Eukaryota; Viridiplantae; Streptophyta; Magnoliopsida; Brassicales; Caricaceae.
ACUAUCUCACCGUCACGGAGGUAAAGGUGGGUAGAAAACACAAAAGGACCAAUGGAGCAUAGUUUACAACAAAACUCGUUUAUUAACAUGAAAAACCUUUACUAUCCACUUAUCUCAGUGAAAUUCACAAAAACAAUAUACGAAAGCAAUAACAUUAUCAUCAUCACGAAAUCAUAGAAACUGUAUAACAUAAUACUUAUCACGCCUUUUUCAUCUCAAUCAUUACACAACAUAUUUUUUCUUUAUUUACUAGCCUACUAGUA